RNAcentral lists this long non-coding RNA (529 nucleotides) under Monodelphis domestica (gray short-tailed opossum). RNAcentral describes it as "lncRNA (ENSMODG00000040728.1)". Lineage: Eukaryota; Metazoa; Chordata; Mammalia; Didelphimorphia; Didelphidae. The record is from RNAcentral.
GGGCCAAAGUUCCCCAAACACCUGGAGACAUCUCUGACUCUAAUUGUCGGAUAUCACUUCUCUGGUAGGUGACAAGAUAAUGGCGGCUCUGGAGGGAGAUGAGGUCAGACAUCCAGUACCUAUAACUACAGCCCCGACUGGCCCCUGCAUUCUCCAUUGGAUGAAACACAGAAAUCUUCAGUGGCACAGCAGACAGCCAGACAACUGUAACCACUGGCUACAAGUAAUUUUGGCUGAGCAGCAGCACACCCUGAUAAAACCAUCUCAGCAGCCAGACUAAAGCAGGCUUCAAAUUAAUUGACAAGCAGGUCAGUGUCUACACCAGUCAUGUGAAGACAUCCUCUGAGAGAAUGGGUGGAUGAGAACAAUUUGAUCCAGCAGCCAUAAAGUAACCUAUGUUCACUAUCCUUACCUUGUUAAUCAUUACCUAUCAUUGUUUCUGUAAAAAUAUAACCUAAUUCUUUAGCCCAUGUCAUUUCCCCUAUAAAUUGUGUUCCCCAAAUCAAUAAACUAAGUCACUGCCCAGCCC